Molecule: ribosomal RNA, 482 nt
Filed under: uncultured bacterium
Lineage: Bacteria
Description: partial 16S ribosomal RNA
Rfam family: Bacterial small subunit ribosomal RNA
Source: RNAcentral
AUUGAACGCUGGCGGCAUGCUUUACACAUGCAAGUCGAACGGUAACAGGCCGCAGGGUGCUGACGAGUGGCGGACGGGCGGGUAAUGCAUCGGAACGUGCCCAGUCGUGGGGGGUAACUACUCGAAAGAGUAGCUAAUACCGCAUACGAUCUAUGGAUGAAAGCGGGGGACCGUAAGGCCUCGCGCGAUUUGAGCGGCCGAUGUCGGAUUAGGUAGUUGGUGGGGUAAUGGCUCACCAAGCCAACGAUCUGUAGCUGGUCUGAGAGGAUGACCAGCCACACUGGGACUGAGACACGGCCCAGACUCCUACGGGAGGCAGCAGUGGGGAAUUUUGGACAAUGGGCGCAAGCCUGAUCCAGCAAUGCCGCGUGCAGGAAGAAGGCCUUCGGGUUGUAAACUGCUUUUGUACGGAACGAAACGGCUCUGGUUAAUACCCGGGGCUAAUGACGGUACCGUAAGAAUAAGCACCGGCUAACUACGUG